AUCUCUUCUCGGCUUUUUGGCUAAGAUCAAGUGUAGUAUCUGUUCUUAUCAGCUUAAAUGCAUUAGUCCUUUUAAAGGAGCACUCGUAAGCAUAU
Molecule: small nuclear RNA, 95 nt
Organism: Rattus norvegicus (Norway rat)
Lineage: Eukaryota; Metazoa; Chordata; Mammalia; Rodentia; Muridae
Product: U2 spliceosomal RNA
Source: Ensembl